Scophthalmus maximus (turbot) is the source of this 1940-nucleotide long non-coding RNA. RefSeq lists it as uncharacterized. The record is from RefSeq and is a predicted model, not a curated record. The transcript is spliced from 5 exons. NCBI's taxonomy places the organism in Eukaryota, Metazoa, Chordata, Actinopteri, Pleuronectiformes, Scophthalmidae.
UAUCACACGUGCAGACAAAGGGGGGGACUCCACAACACAAAGCUGGAUGUGCCCUCUCAAACUUUUUUUUUUGGGGGGGGUUUGUCCACGACGCACGGCGACGCGCGCAGAGCGCACCAGCCCCCAGGUGAGUUGCCGCCGAGGCGGCGUUCCACCUUCGCCUGCGCCCCUGGAGUGAUUUUUCUUUUAUUUGGAAAAAGCCUUAUUUCCAGUCCAAAGUUGCCGCUGCAGUUGGCGCGUCAGCGCGCAAACUUGAGCACAAAGCAGCAGGGAAAAAGGGGAAAGAGACUUAGAGGAACAGUGGCGGCGAGGAGGGAGAGAGCGAGAGGAGCGGUCCCCUUUUCCUUUGUCUGACGCGGGGCGCUUUUGAGGAGAGAACUUGAGGGGAUGCUCAGACACGCAUCUGCACCACGCAACGUCUGAUACUUCUCAUUAAUUGGCCGUGGGCUCUAAUGGAGGUUUCUCCCGGAUGAGUCCUUGGAUUGGUGGAUUUUAACUCCAGAUUAACCAGCAAAGCAUUUUCUGCUAUGGGAGUUUAACGAAAUACAAGUGGAAGAUGUACAGAGUCAACGAUCCAGCAGCUAUUAAGACGAAGAGGAGGAUUUCUAGACUUGGCUUUUUUAUUCGGGAGAACGAGAAGCCGCAAGGAUUUAAACUUCGGCAGCAUCAGUGCCAGGCGGGAUGCUUUCUCGGCACACGUGGAAAUCUAAACACUCAUGGAGACACUUUGAGGAUUAUAAAAAAAAAUGUGUCGCACAAGACAUUUCCCAGGUCAACGUCACAGGCGUAGCAGGAUGCUGCACUGCUGGUCCUCCUCGGGCCUCAGCUUGGGGAGUGUGGGAGCAGUGAGGUCUGGGAGAUCAUGACCUUAAUUCUCUCCAAGACAGACAGUUUAAUUAACACUGGAGGAAUCCUCACCGGCUCCAGACCUUUGCGAUGGGAAUGUUCAGGGGAAUUGGAUUGCCAAGGUCCUCUCGGCCAUUUAGUAGACUGUGAAGCCGACAGACGAUGCCCAUGAAUGAUAAAUGAUGACUGGAGGUCUGUCUGGUGCCAACAGAAUGCAUAAUACAGCGUGGAUGCAGUGAUUCCUGUCCUUCCCACCAGAAACACACAGCACAGUUACUCCAUCACUACCCCCAGCAGAGGAGUGUGUUUGCUUUAAGUGGAUAGCGACUGAACGCAGCAUUCAGGCCCCCUUCUUUGUAGUCCACAUUGCAAGAAGACCACCUCAUAGGGAUUUUCCCCUUCACCAGGUAACCACAAAGGAAGAAAAGAAGCACAUUAUCCACAUGUACAACAUACCCCCGAACACGCACGCACGCACGCACACACGCAAGCUCUCUUUGCCACACAAAGCUGACCACCAGCACAGCAGGAAACACACACGCAUGCACACACACACAGCAUAUUAUCUUUAUGAGGUGUUAUACACCAGUGACCACCAACACAGGGUCUCACUGUUCUCUAAUCCACACUCGAGCUGAAAAGAGUGCUCCAUGCAAUGGAGGGAUUACACCGUGGGAUUAAUAGGAGUUUUAAUUUGAGUCAUUGUAAGAGCCCUUGAUUGUAAGAAUAUGUGCAGGAAAGAAUACCACUUGCUCCUAUGUGAUAUUGUUAAAUGUGUUACAACCGCACAUUUCGGCCACUGCAUUUACUGCAAUGACACAAGCAAUCUGCAUGUGUGUGUCCAUUCAAUUUUUGUGUGACUGAUAAUGAGUAAGACCAUGAACUAUUAUCAUUAAAACUACCACAAUACAGCUACACUAUCUUGAAAUUAACUGUGCUUAAAAUGUUAAUAUUACUGUAAUGCUUGGAAAUGUACUGUCAUGUGAAGUCACUGCACUUUGCAGAAAACACAUUCUUGUUACCAACCAGUUUUUUUUAAUGCCUUUGAUUUUACCCUUAUAUUCUAAAUUAAAAGAAGAAUGAUUACCAUGUCA